This 63-nucleotide transfer RNA is filed under the name Tetraclitella divisa. RNAcentral describes it as "tRNA-Asp". Lineage: Eukaryota; Metazoa; Arthropoda; Thecostraca; Balanomorpha; Tetraclitidae. The record is from RNAcentral.
GAAAAUUUAGUUAAUUCAUAAUUCUAGCCUGUCAUGCUAAAGUAACUUUCUAAGUAAUUUUCU